CCUGGCCUUGGGCACUGCCAGGGAUCCAGGGGCAGCCCCAGCUGCUCUGGCAAUUCCAUCCCAGCCCCUGCCCACCCUCACAGGGAACAAUUCCUCAUUUCCAAGCUCCCAUCCAGCCCUGCCCUCUGGCACUGGCAGCCAUUCCCUGUGUGCUGUCCCUGCAUGCCCUGGAAAUUGUCUCUCUCCAGCUUUCCUGGGGCUCCUGCAGGCCCUGCAAGGCCACCCUGAGCUCAGCCCAAAGCUUCUCCUGUGCAGGUGAACAAUGCCAGCUGUGCCAGCCUUUGCUGCCAGCAGAGCUGCUCCAUCCCUCUGCUCAUCCUGGAGCCUCCUCUGGGCUCUCUGCAGCAGCUCCAGCUCCUCCUGGGCUGGGACAGGCCUGGGGCAGCUCUCAGGUGGGCUCUCACCUGAGCAGGGCAGAAUUGCCAAAAAAAAUCUCUUUCAAAAACCACACAAAAUCUGAACUUGAUGCAACCUGUGAACACCACUUUGCUUUCUUGGUGUUGCAAUUCCUGAGGCCAGAGCAGAGAAUUGCAAGAAAGAGAGUAAAAAGAGGAAAAUUAACUGGUUCCAGCCUCCAAGACAAGCACGACUGUGCUCAGUAAACAUUUCAGGCAAAUAAGGGAAUGGAAGCAAACCAAAUAGUGCAGCAACAUGAGCUUUUCUUCCCUCAAGCUGGACAUCUCUGCAGGGGAACAAUAUUACCUCAUCAUCUUCUGGGUGAACCUCUCUCCUCCUCAGUGUGCAGCCUGGGCACCAGACAGAGGAACAAAAGGACAGAAUGACAAAAGACAUUUGGGCACUGGGGACAUGAAGAUCAGCUGCAGCAGCAGAGAAUUGGGAGGAACAGUUCCACUUAUGCAAAGUCAAGUGCACCAGAAGCUGCUGAACUACCUCCAACAGUGGUUCUUACAGAGCUGCAUCCCAACAAAAAUAAUAAAUUAAGAGAUGACAGUUUCAA
Long non-coding RNA from Passer domesticus (house sparrow), 958 nucleotides. RefSeq lists it as uncharacterized. The transcript has 2 exons. The record is from RefSeq and is a predicted model, not a curated record. NCBI's taxonomy places the organism in Eukaryota, Metazoa, Chordata, Aves, Passeriformes, Passeridae.